CCUACGGGAGGCAGCAGUGGGGAAUAUUGGACAAUGGGCGAAACCCUGACCCAGCGACGCCGCGUGAGGGAAGAAGGAUUUCGGUACGUAAAGCUCUAUCUGCAGGAAAGAAAAUGACGGUACCUGACUAAGAAGCCCUGGCUCACUACGUGCCAGCAGCCGCGGUAAUACGGAGGGUGCACGCGUUAUCCGGAUUUACUGGGUGUAAAGGGGGCGUAGCCGGCUGCGCAAGUCUGGCGUGAAAUGGGUGGGCCCAACCACGGAACUGCUGUUGAAACUGGGAGGCUGGAGUGCAGGAGAGGUAAGCGGAAUUCCUGGUGUAGCGGUGAAAUGCGUAGAUAUCAGGAGGAACACCGGCGGCGAAGGCGGCUUACUGGACCGUAACUGACGCUGAGGCACGAAAGCGUGGGGAGCAAACAGGAUUAGAUACCCUUGUAGUC
This 440-nucleotide ribosomal RNA is filed under the name uncultured bacterium. RNAcentral describes it as "partial 16S ribosomal RNA". It matches the Rfam family "Bacterial small subunit ribosomal RNA", at positions 338 to 795 of the family's 1533-position model. The record is from RNAcentral.